UUGAUCCGUGGAAGACUUGCUUUUCUUUAUGUAUAAGGGGUCGAAGGAAUCUUUGUGCACCAUCUUUUGUCAGGGUUGUGAUUCUCCAUAGAUAAAAUGGAAAUGGUAACAGUCGGUAACAGGAUCUUGUAUGUCUUGAGUUCUUCCCGCCGAUUAUGUUCAUAGGUGCUGAGAGCUGAUGCGUUUCAACGCGAAACUGGAGAAGGUUGAUAAGGGGAAGCCGAAGAAUUCGCUGGCUCAGCUUCCUUUGUUUUAUUGAAUAGCAAUUCGAUCUACAUGCUUCUUCCUUCAUUUCGUUAAUUGUUUUUCUUGCUAACGCACAUGAAUAGAUCACUGCGCGUCUUUAGUUUCCUAGGAAGCAAAGGACGUAGCGGGUAUCAUUGGCUUUUGGAUUGUGUUUCAUUUCAGGUUCAUACAACAUUAUGCUGCUCCUUGUGAGUUGCCUUGGCUUGCUUUCCGUGGUUAAGGGUGCACUUGAAAUUUAGAGUUAAA
Long non-coding RNA from Neltuma alba, 492 nucleotides. RefSeq lists it as uncharacterized. Lineage: Eukaryota; Viridiplantae; Streptophyta; Magnoliopsida; Fabales; Fabaceae. The record is from RefSeq and is a predicted model, not a curated record. The transcript has 2 exons.